AGCUUCAAGAAAUUUAAUUUGAAGUUAGGUCUGCCCAAUGUCAAUGUCAUCAAUGGCCGCGGUACUUUGACCGUGCUAAGGUAGCGCAAUCAAUUGGCUUUUAAUUAAAGUCAGGUAUGAAUGGAGUUACGGGGUUUAGCUGUCUCUACAAUUAAUCUAUCGAAAUUACUAUUUAGGUGAAAAAGCCUAAAAGAAGAAAAAAGACGAGAAGACCCUUAGAGUUUUUCCAAAAUUAGUAUAAUUACUAUAACAGUUUAGUUGGGGCAACAUAGGAACAGUAGAAUAAUUUUAACCUCCUAAAAAUUACAAACCGAUAAUUAUAAAUAUGAAUAAACUACCUUAGGGAUAACAGCAUAAUUUUAUAAAUAAGUUUGUGACCUCGAUGUUGGACUAGGAAGCUAAGGGGCUAGCCGCCUUUUAGGAAAGUUCUGUUCGAACUAUAAUUCCU
This 448-nucleotide ribosomal RNA is filed under the name Aphelodoris sp. 1 JH-2017. RNAcentral describes it as "partial 16S ribosomal RNA". It matches the Rfam family "Archaeal large subunit ribosomal RNA", at positions 1919 to 2665 of the family's 2987-position model. The record is from RNAcentral. Lineage: Eukaryota; Metazoa; Mollusca; Gastropoda; Nudibranchia; Dorididae.